Molecule: transfer RNA, 71 nt
Filed under: Loxodonta africana (African savanna elephant)
Lineage: Eukaryota; Metazoa; Chordata; Mammalia; Proboscidea; Elephantidae
Rfam family: tRNA
About the family: Transfer RNA (tRNA) molecules are approximately 80 nucleotides in length. Their secondary structure includes four short double-helical elements and three loops (D, anti-codon, and T loops). Further hydrogen bonds mediate the characteristic L-shaped molecular structure. tRNAs have two regions of fundamental functional importance: the anti-codon, which is responsible for specific mRNA codon recognition, and the 3' end, to which the tRNAs corresponding amino acid is attached (by aminoacyl-tRNA synthetases). tRNAs cope with the degeneracy of the genetic code in two manners: having more than one tRNA (with a specific anti-codon) for a particular amino acid; and 'wobble' base-pairing, i.e. permitting non-standard base-pairing at the 3rd anti-codon position.
Source: Rfam by way of RNAcentral
GCAGUGGUCAUUCAGUGGUAGAAUUCUAGCCUUCCUUGUGGGAAACCUGGGUUCAAUUCCCAACCAAGGCA